GGAGACGUGACAGAGGAUCUCCACCCUUGAUUAGACACCAGGACAGUGUGUGAGGAGGAGAAAAAGGAGCCAGCAUCAGCUGAGAGAUAUAGAGGAGAACAGGGGGACAACAGAUAGCUCUCUGUAGUUGAGGGACUGCUGUGAAGGCUCGCUGUCAUCAGAAAGCUGAUGUGGGAGUGGCUCACGCCUUCAGCCAGUGGCAGGUGUGCAUGAAGGACAGCAUGCACCUGAACCAGGUGCUGGGCCUCCCUCUGCCUGAACCAGACGUCGCAUGGUGAGACGUUCUCUUAAAGCGCACUUCCCAAGUUCACAAGGUCGUUUGCAGCUCAGCCCGGGCGCAGGACGAGCUGCGACUGGAUGAUUGGCUGCUGCUGAAAACUUCGUACAAAACCAAGGAGAGUAGGAAUCGCUACAACAAAAUGGACCUGAGCCGGAAGGAGGAGCGCCGAGCCACGGACCUCCUCUGACAGUCGGACAAUCGCUGGAACCGCCAUCACCAUCCACUCUGGGCUUCAGCCCACUUUGUAGCUUUACAAAUACAGGCCAUUUACAGAUGAGUUAUGGAUUUGAUGGCCUCUUGUGGGCAGUCCUCCCUCUGUUGACUCAUUCUUUGCUCCAGCACCUCUGCAGGAAAAUGUCAGAGUCUAUGUGUGACAAAUAUCUUCUAUUUUUUAACAAUCUGGGUCAUUUGUGAUUUAACGGGAAACAUGAAUGUAAGUUUUAUAAAAAAGAACCUAGUCUAUAAAGAUUUAAAUGUUUCUGACCCCAAUCUUUUUUUCCUGUCCUGUCCGAAGGAGAAGAAAAAUGCCCAACAGAUUAUUUUACUGCUCUUGCUAUAUUGGUCCACUUUAUUGUCACUUUUUUUAUUCAGCCUUUAUUAUUUUUAUUAUUUAUUUUGUUUUUAUUUGGAGUUAUUAGAGGACCGGGGGACAGGAAAGAGAAAGAACGAGGGGAAGAGAGAGAGAAGACAACACAGCAGGGAAACCAUGGCAACAACCAACCUCAGCAACAGUAAAUAAUAAACAUAAUUGUUACUGAGAAGCACACAGGACUGAUAAUGUAUAAUAUGUUUAGAGACAGCAGCCAACCCAGACAGUGUGUGUCUCUGAACACCUGUGUGUGUGAGCGCACUUAUGUUCAUAAGGAUUCUCCAUGUAAGUGUCUGAUAGUGGGUGUGGGGAGCCAUAGCCCCGCCCCCCAAGUAAUUGAGGGAGGCAUGGAGGAGAUCCCCUCAUAGCCGAGGAGGACAGACUCAAUUCAGGGCUGUCGUCUGUGACUCUUCUGCACAGCUGCUGUGUCUGCUGCUAUUUGCAGAUCAGUCCCUGAGUCUUCUCAUUUUAAGGACAAAUUUGCAUCACACUUGGAUCAAUUCUUGCCUUUUUAAGAAUGUCUCACCUUGCUCCUCAUUUAAAUUUGUUAUAACGUCAUAUUUGUGACAUGUUAUUAAAUAUGUGGACACCA
Oreochromis niloticus (Nile tilapia) is the source of this 1461-nucleotide long non-coding RNA. RefSeq lists it as uncharacterized. The transcript is spliced from 2 exons. Lineage: Eukaryota; Metazoa; Chordata; Actinopteri; Cichliformes; Cichlidae. The record is from RefSeq and is a predicted model, not a curated record.